CCUACGGGAGGCAGCAGUGAGGAAUAUUGGUCAAUGGACGCAAGCCUGAACCAGCCAAGUAGCGUGAAGGAUGACGGCCCUACGGGUUGUAAACUUCUUUUAUACAGGAAUAAAGUGAAGCACGUGUGCCUUUUUGUAUGUACUUUAUGAAUAAGGAUCGGCUAACUCCGUGCCAGCAGCCGCGGUAAUACGGAGGAUCCGAGCGUUAUCCGGAUUUAUUGGGUUUAAAGGGAGCGUAGAUGGGUUGUUAAGUCAGUUGUGAAAGUUUGCGGCUCAACCGUAAAAUUGCAAUUGAUACUGGUAGUCUUGAGUACAGUUGAGGUAGGCGGAAUUCGUGGUGUAGCGGUGAAAUGCUUAGAGAUCACGAAGAACUCCGAUUGCGAAGGCAGCUUACUAAACUGCAACUGACAUUGAUGCUCGAAAGUGUGGGUAUCAAACAGGAUUAGAUACCCGUGUAGUC
Molecule: ribosomal RNA, 460 nt
Filed under: uncultured bacterium
Lineage: Bacteria
Description: partial 16S ribosomal RNA
Rfam family: Bacterial small subunit ribosomal RNA
Source: RNAcentral